This is an RNA transcript of Panicum hallii, 4188 nucleotides long. It is a transcript of the gene named BAG domain-containing protein Samui-like, with no coding region annotated. The record is from RefSeq and is a predicted model, not a curated record. NCBI's taxonomy places the organism in Eukaryota, Viridiplantae, Streptophyta, Magnoliopsida, Poales, Poaceae. The transcript is spliced from 11 exons.
AGAGUAUCAUUUAGAGAACGCUGCUGGAGUAAUAGAGAACGGAAUCUUCUCUAUAUAUAGGAUACAGAACGCUUUAGAGAAUGCCGUUGGAGACAACCUAAUAUUCAGCUCACGAUGAGCUAAAUAGACCAAUUCUAUAUAUAUAUUAUAUAUAAGAGAGAGAGAGACAGAGGGGGGGUUAUUCCAUACCCGAAUCCCUGCUCAAGCUGUGCGUGCGACCGAACCCGAGCACCGAGCACGCACGCUACCAGCCUCUCGCUCCCCGCGGUUUUCUUCCGUUGUUCCCCGCUGCUCAUUUUUUUUCUCGGUUCUUUUUUUCACCGGCCGCACACCAGUUUCUUGAUUCGCCCACGACUCGCCCAAGAUAGAUCGUGGGUCAUAAUCUCGAUCUCGUUCUUUUUCCUCCCGUUCCGUUGCUCGCACCAUCCACAGGCCUCCCUCCCGUCGCCGCCGCCCCCCGCCGUUUUCCAGCGACAGUUCCGCUGAAGCCGAGGCACGCCAGACGCAAGGUGCCGCUCUUGCCGUCCCUCGCCGGAGCCUGCGCGACCUGAAGCUGCUCGUGAGGUCCUCCACCACAGAUCGAAUGUCCAUGAUUUGGUUCCGAUCUAUUGAGGCCUUUUUACCAUGAUCUGAUUUGAUUCUGUUCUAUGAAGGUCUUCUUCGUUGUAGAUCUGGAAUCCCAAUUUCACGAUGAUGCAGCAAUUGGACAUGUGCCGCUGGCCGCCGACGGAUUUGGAAGCACUGGGUAGGGUCGUAGGGCUGGGGCCACGUGCGGAGGCAAUGGGAUAGGCAGCGACAUCACCGAGUGUGUGCUUUGCCAUCCAGUGGAGCCUGGACUUGCUGCUGACUGCAUGAUACCUUCAGCCAUCUGUGUCCCAGCAGCCCAGCGAAAUUUUUGCUCUCUGCUCUUGUCCUCAAUUCUUCCUCGCUGGAUACAGGAAGACAUCCAGACAAGCUGUUAGACAAUGGUGAAGGCUGAAAUAUCCUCGAGGCAAGUGUAGAAAUCAUAGCUCAUGCCUGAUGUGGGCGAAGGCCGGCAUACACAUGUUGUUUCUUUCCUUCAUUUGUAUGCCAAUAAAUCAAUCACUAGAUUAUAGAUUCAAGAUAUGUAAAUUCUUUCUGGUAUUCUUUUUUGAGAUUUCUGGAUGCUAAUCCUUUUUUAUUUUAUUCACAUAGUUAGCUCAUUUAAUCAGUUGAGUUCUGCUGUUGGAAAAAGCAUUAUUCUUCACUGGAGGUAAUCCUGGUCCAGUCUCUCCGAACCUUCAAAUCUUCUCGCAAUGGGCUUGUGGUGCCAUUCCUCUGCAGCCCUGCUCGUGUGUCUAGAUGUGUAUGCAAGCCCCUACCAUAUUUGCUUCUUCCAAUAAUGUGUUUCAAUGUCCUCUGUCUGCUUGUUAUUUUGCUUCUGAGAGUGGAGCUAAGAGAUGAUUCUGCCAAGGUUGUACGGUGGUGGUCUUGUUUUAAAGGAUUUCAUCCUAGUUUAUUUUGAUCUGAUGUUCUUGGUGCUCUGUUUCGUGUUUCCAAUCGGAUCGUUGAAGUUCAUAGUACAACAUAGGAUAAUAUAAAAUAGAACUGAUUCUUUUACUUACUCCAAUUUCAGCUGUAUGAUUCAUAUCUGCAAAUACAUGUCUGCUUUAUGUUUUCUACUUUAGUGUAGCUAGUUGCCACUAUAUGUCAUACUGAUUCAUAAACUUUUCUGAUAUCUGAAACUUCUUAAAUUUGGUUAUGACAAAUGGACUGGCUUAUAUGCGGUCAUAUAUACAUCUUUCUACUAAGCAUUAUGUUUCAAAUUGAUCUAUUUGUGCAGUAUCAUAAUCGUGACUAAUCCCCAAUGGAGUUUUUUUUAUUAUUUUAUAUGCUUUUUUCCUUGAAUAUUUAUUUGGAUGAAGGGGUGCAGCUGCAUCUUAGAUGUAAGUACUCAUGCGUGUGAUCAAGGAUAAUAGCAAGCUUCGGCAAGCUAAUAACAGCUCGUCCUCAUCUUCGUCUACAUCCGGCUUGGGUAAUAAGUCGAGUUGUCUAUGCUACAAGCAUGGUCCAGCGCCAUCAUUUUGCGUCAUGCUCGUGGGCACUUGGAUUCUGUGAUCUUCGACUAUCGAGUGCCCGAAUUUCACAAAGACUCGGGGCUAGUGGAGCGCGAUUCCCCGCAGGGAUCCCGGCCUUUUCCCCGGAACGGGCUUCCCCUCGUGGAAUCGUGGCCCGGGCCAAAUUACUGGGCAUUUGGAAGCCCACGGCGCGGGGCAGGCGCUCCCGUUCCCAUCGAUUUCCCCGGGGCAGGCGCUCCUCCGUGCGGCUCGCGAGCGCCUCCGCCUCCCCGUCAUGAUUCCCCGAGUCGAAGGCGCCGCCGUCGCUCCGCCCCUCCGCCUCCCCGUCCAAGCCGCGCCGCCCUCCCCGUCCAGGUCGCACCGCCCCGUCCUACCGCCGCGUCGUCCGCCUCCCCCAGCUGCCGGUCCUCCGCCUCCCGGUCAAGAUCCGGCACCGCGCCGCCCUCCCCGUCCAGGUCACGCCGCCCCUCCGCCUUCCCGUCCAGGCCGCGCCGCCCUGGGAACGAGAGGGGAGGGAGGCAAGUGGUCGGCGCUUCUGACAAGACCGCCCGCCAUCUUGCUCCUGCAGCCGCAGAUCGGAUCUCUCGAGGCUGAUUCAUUCUCCAGAACUACAGCUGAUCGAGAAAAAGAGUUGAAUGCUGUGCAGGAGGCUUAGCUCCGCAGGGCAGAGGAAGCUGCAGCAACAGAAGCUGCACUUGAACGUCAAAAGAAAGAAGAGGAGGAGAAGCUGAAGAAACAGCGUGAGGAAGAGCCAUGUUAACAAAAAGUUCAAGGGCUACGUGGAGCUACACUCAUGAGAAAGGACUUGUUGAAACAAUGCAGACGCUUGUCAACAUCCCCAUGCUGAGGGGACAGAAUGGUUGGACAGCAGAAGGUUGGAGACAUAUUACCUACAAAUUGAAUGAAAUGUUUCCUAACGCAAACUUCACAAAGCAGCAAGUACAAGAAAAGGAGAAAGAAUUAAAGGGGAACUAUAGGAUAAUACGAGAAGCUAGAAAAAGUGGUUUUUGGUUGUGAUGGCACUUUGGGUAUGAUCAAUGCUGAACCCAAAAUCUGGGCAAAGUUGAUAAAGGAUAAUCCUAAAGUCAGCAAGUUCCGCAAGAAGGCUUUUCCUUUAUUUAACAGCUUGGGAUCAUUGUAUGAAGGGGAUUUAAAUUUUACAUCUAGUGAACCUGCACCUCAAAGAACUCAACAGCAAGUUGAUCCUACACCUCAAAGAACUCAGCAGCAAGUUGAUCCUACACCUCAAAGAACUCAGCAGCAAAUUGAUCCUAUACCUCAAAGAAGUAUCUCAGAGCAAAGCACCCAUAACACAGCACCUAGUAGAAAUCCAUUCAAUUCUGGUCUUGAUGGCAUAGAGAGCACCGAAGUUCAAUCUGCUGCAACAAAUCAAAGUUCAGAGGAUGUAGAAGGUGUCAGCGGCAAGAAACGUAAGCAAAGUCAAAUGGCAACAGGACUUGGAGACUACAUUGAAUUCAGGAAAGACCAGAUUGAAAAAACUAUGAAGGAGCUCAAUGAGAAGAAGAAACAUGAAGAGGACUAUUCUGUUCAGAAGUGCAUUGACAUUAUGGAUGCCAUGGAAGAACUAACUGAUGAGCAGAAGGCGGAUUGUAAUGAGCGAUUCCAAUCUGAAAUGAAUAGUCAAAUAUUUGUGGGCACCAAAAACCAAAAGGGUAGCAGACCUAGCUUUGGCCAUGGUGGCGGCAGCGCUUUUGGUUCUGGAGCAUCUUCCAUGGUGUGAUAAUUCAAUACCCUAUACUACUGGUAUGAGUAUACGCGGCGGGCGACCUGUGCGGAGCCGCGGCAUCACGGGGAACGACGGCGCGACCUACGCGGAGCAGCGUCCGGCGCGAGAGUGGCUGCAGGCAAGCGCGGCCCACGGAUCACAGCGCACGUGGAGCACGGUGUUGGAGCAGAGCUGGGAGCAUGCGCAUGCUAGGGAUCCCACUAUUUUUGCUAUGAUUUGUAGGUACUGGUAUCCGCCUCAGUAAUUGAGCUCUCUCAUACCUAAAAAAUUCACUGCGCCCAUUGAUUUUGAUGUAGUUUUGGUCAAUCUCGAGGAGUUCAGAAGUUCAGGGCGUGUUUUUUUUUUAUUCUUGUGUGUUUUGAGCCAUCAAGUUCAGUAAUAUACCCCUGCUCUAAAAUCUCA